This 1358-nucleotide long non-coding RNA is filed under the name Parus major (Great Tit). Its description in RNAcentral is "lncRNA (ENSPMJG00000011197.1)". The record is from RNAcentral. Lineage: Eukaryota; Metazoa; Chordata; Aves; Passeriformes; Paridae.
AAGAACUGCCUGUUGCCAGCCUCAAGUCUCAGCUCUGCACUGGCAGAUUUGUUGGCACACAAUUUGGUUUUCCAUUUAUUAUGAAUUCUGUCUUCUGUGUCCUACAGAGUAUCAGAUGGAUCAGCCUAAAGCAUUGACAACUGCAACCAACUGGUUUCUGUAUCUGACUGAAGUCACUCUGAGGGCUGAGUUCUUUCUUCCUUUCCUCCACCAAAGCCCUGAACACUUGGAAGGGGUUUACCAUCCUUACAGGAAUUUGCUCAGGGAUCUGGUUAAGAAUAACCAGUCACCAGACUCCAGCCUGGCUGGGCAUAAUAUUAUUGCAAAGGGCUGAUGGCUGCAAAUGCUCCGGAAGAAUAUGGUUGUAUGGGAAUUGUGAAAGCUCUACCCUUGAAAUGAAACUAAGCCAGUAUUUCGUGCCUUCUUGCUUUUUAAAAAACAUAUUAUUGUCAAACUUCUUUGAUAGUCCCACAGUCCCUCCAUGCAUAGCAAAGACUGCAGUGUAUCAAAACACUAUCAGGAUUCCAGAUGGAACUUGAAGAGAUCUUCUAUUUAACCCUGUGCACAUCACUUCAAAUCACUGAUUUCUUUCUUCAUGAUUGAAUUUAGACUGAAGGCACUGAGACACGAGCUGUUAAAUCAUGAGGUCCCACUUUCUACUGGAACUCCAGGAAUUACAGCACCCUAUAAAGUCUCUGCACAAAGCACAACUUAGAUGAUAAAAAAGACCUUUUUCUGUAAAGAAAGGCAAAUUCGGUUUAUAUAUAUUCAUAUUUUCAUAACAUGUAUUUGAAGAAAUACAUUACAUGUAGUGCUCAUGUCAGCUAUUGCUCUGCCAUUUUCUAAAGACAUGAUAAGGAGGUUGCUAUGUUUUGUAAGCAUGGCUUUUUCUGUACACAUCUUAGUCUCUUCAGACAAGUGCUGGGAUAGCAUGAAGUUUUAAACCCUCCACACUUGUUGGAAAACUAGAAAACAUUUUCAUAGGUAAUAAGAUCACAAGGAAACAUUUGUGUCAUCUAAAAUGUCUGAUAAUACAACCCCCCAACUUUUAUUCAAUAAUUGUUCCAAACAUUAUACUUCUCUAUCUCUAUUGUCUGUGUCAAACUGUAUUUGAUAAAAUAUUUAUUUCAUUGUUUGAAGUAUGUAAAAUCCUUUAACAGACAUACACUAUUGAAGAAAGAAGACUGUGGCUAUUUUAUGAUAUUUUACAUUGUGACAGUCAGACAGGGGAAGGGAGAGGCCCUUUUUUAAAUUCAGGUUGGUCUUCUAUGUGUCUCCAUUUCUACCUGAUGGUGCAACAGCUUUCCUAAGGUACCUAAGUGACAAUGGAAAUAUCUGAACUACAUUUUAUUCUUAAG